GAACAAGUGCAGCCUGUUAAUCAUAUCCUCUAGCAUCUUCAGUGAGAUUCGUUAACGUCGAUUGUCAUGAAGAAUAUUUUCUUAUUAUUAUUCAUUUCUCUUUUGAUAUUGAGUCUAGUAGAAGCUGGAGAACGAAUUGAUAAAAUGAAAGAGUACGCGGGAGAAGCCUGGAACAAAACUAAGUCCAAAGCCAAGGAAUGGGGAGAAAAAGGAAAGGAUGCUGCUACGAAAGCAUGGGAUAAAACUAAGGAGUUUGGAUCGAAAGUAAAAGACUGGUUUGGAUAAUUAUUCUUAUCCAUUUCAUUCUGACAGUUCUUGUAUAUUGUUUUGCAAUAUAAUUGAUAUUUAGAAUUACCGAAUUAAUUGUGAUUGUUUGUAGAAAACACACUUUAAAUGUAAUUUUUUUUUUUUUACAAUAAUAUUUUAUUCUGACAAAAAAAAUAUUAAAAAUACCGUUUUGCAAAAAACAAAAAUGUAUAU
Molecule: long non-coding RNA, 480 nt
Filed under: Androctonus crassicauda
Lineage: Eukaryota; Metazoa; Arthropoda; Arachnida; Scorpiones; Buthidae
Source: RNAcentral